This is a non-coding RNA of Pristionchus pacificus, 61 nucleotides long. NCBI's taxonomy places the organism in Eukaryota, Metazoa, Nematoda, Chromadorea, Rhabditida, Neodiplogasteridae. The record is from Rfam.
UCUUCUUUUCACGUGCUCUCUCAUCGGUCAGAGAGGCGAGAUAGUGUGUGAAAUGAAGAGA